GACGAACGCUGGCGGCGUGCCUAAUACAUGCAAGUCGAACGCUGAAGAGAGGGGGUUUCUCUUCCUGGAUGAGUUGGGGACGGGUGAGUAACUCCUAGGCAAAAUACCUUCUCGCGGGGGGUAAUAAUAGGGAAUGAUAUCUUAUAACCCAUAAUUAAGGGCCUUUCAUUUUAUUUACUUUAAAUGGGCUAUUUCUUCACUUAAAGAUGGACCUGCGUUGUAUUAGCUAGCAGGUGUGGUAACGGCACACCUAACCUAGGAUAUAUAACCGACCUGAGAGGGUGAUCGGCCACGCUGGGACUGGGACACGACCCGGACUCCUGCGAGAGGCAGCAGUAGGGAAUCUUCGGCAAUGGGAGCAACCCUGACCGAGCAACGCCGCGUGAGUGAAGAAGGUUUUCGGAUCGUAAAGCUCUGUUAUAAGUCAAGAACGAGUAUGAGAGUGGAAAGUUCACACUAUGACGGUAGCUUACCAGAAAGGGACGGCUAACUACGUG
This 497-nucleotide ribosomal RNA is filed under the name uncultured bacterium. Its description in RNAcentral is "partial 16S ribosomal RNA". It matches the Rfam family "Bacterial small subunit ribosomal RNA", at positions 28 to 507 of the family's 1533-position model. The record is from RNAcentral.